Molecule: ribosomal RNA, 253 nt
Filed under: uncultured bacterium
Lineage: Bacteria
Description: partial 16S ribosomal RNA
Rfam family: Bacterial small subunit ribosomal RNA
Source: RNAcentral
UACGGAGGGUGCGAGCGUUAAUCGGAAUCACUGGGCGUAAAGCGCGCGUAGGCGGUUUGUUAAGUGGGAUGUGAAAUCCCCGGGCUUAACCUGGGAAUUGCAUUUCAAACUGGCCGACUAGAGUACGGUAGAGGGAGGUAGAAUUUCCUGUGUAGCGGUGAAAUGCGUAGAUAUAGGAAGGAAUACCAGUGGCGAAGGCGGCCUCCUGGAUCGAUACUGACGCUGAGGCGCGAAAGCGUGGGGAGCAAACAGG